This 430-nucleotide ribosomal RNA is filed under the name Pseudomonadota bacterium. RNAcentral's name for it is "Proteobacteria bacterium partial 16S ribosomal RNA". It matches the Rfam family "Bacterial small subunit ribosomal RNA", at positions 355 to 776 of the family's 1533-position model. Lineage: Bacteria; Pseudomonadati; Pseudomonadota. The record is from RNAcentral.
UGGGGAAUAUUGGACAAUGGGGGGAACCCUGAUCCAGCCAUGCCGCGUGUGUGAAGAAGGCCUUAUGGUUGUAAAGCACUUUAAGCGAGGAGGAGGGUACUGGUAUUAAUACUACCAGCUACUGGACGUUACUCGCAGAAUAAGCACCGGCUAACUCUGUGCCAGCAGCCGCGGUAAUACAGAGGGUGCGAGCGUUAAUCGGAUUUACUGGGCGUAAAGCGUGCGUAGGCGGCUAAUUGAGUCGGAUGUGAAAUCACCGAGCUUAACUUGGGAAUUGCAUUCGAUACUGGUUAGCUAGAGUGUGGGAGAGGAUGGUAGAAUUCCAGGUGUAGCGGUGAAAUGCGUAGAGAUCUGGAGGAAUACCGAUGGCGAAGGCAGCCAUCUGGCCUAACACUGACGCUGAGGUACGAAAGCAUGGGGAGCAAACAGG